AGUACUUUUAAAUUUAGUCCAGAGAGGCUAACAAAGUGAUAGAACUUAUAAACUUAAUAUUUUAUUUGGAGUUUAUGAUUAAUAUGGCAUUGUUACGACCUUUUAUACUAAUAUAAAAGGUCGUUUUUUAU
Clostridium amylolyticum is the source of this 131-nucleotide regulatory RNA element. It matches the Rfam family "PyrR binding site". From Rfam's summary of the family: This family represents the PyrR binding site and terminator structure. The record is from Rfam. NCBI's taxonomy places the organism in Bacteria, Bacillati, Bacillota, Clostridia, Eubacteriales, Clostridiaceae.